RNAcentral lists this ribosomal RNA (253 nucleotides) under Segatella copri DSM 18205. Its description in RNAcentral is "Prevotella copri DSM 18205 partial 16S ribosomal RNA". It matches the Rfam family "Bacterial small subunit ribosomal RNA", at positions 524 to 776 of the family's 1533-position model. Lineage: Bacteria; Pseudomonadati; Bacteroidota; Bacteroidia; Bacteroidales; Prevotellaceae. The record is from RNAcentral.
UACGGAAGGUCCGGGCGUUAUCCGGAUUUAUUGGGUUUAAAGGGAGCGUAGGCCGGAGAUUAAGCGUGUUGUGAAAUGUAGACGCUCAACGCCUGCACUGCAGCGCGAACUGGUUUCCUUGAGUACGCACAAAGUGGGCGGAAUUCGUGGUGUAGCGGUGAAAUGCUUAGAUAUCACGAAGAACUCCGAUUGCGAAGGCAGCUCACUGGAGCGCAACUGACGCUGAAGCUCGAAAGUGCGGGUAUCGAACAGG